CUUAUCAAUCUCGAUUUUCACCAGUGGGUCACUUAAAAGGGAGACAUCCAGCCUCCACUGAAACGGAGUCACUGUUGUCUCGGGCCACUCCACCGUGCAAAGCAGCAGGGCAUGGUCCGACCAAGUGAUAGGAAGAAUGUCUAUCGAUCUCACAAAUGAAAGGCUAAGGGGGUCAGUCAAAAACUAAUCAAGGCGAGAGUACACUUGGUGGGGGUUUGAAAAAAAAGUGCUGUCUCUGUUUUCGGGAUGAAAUGUGCGCCAAACAUCAUGGACCGCCAUGCUCCUAAGACUGCUACUUAUACUUUUGAUGUGUUUCCCUGAUAGGGAGGAGGUUCCCCCCGACGUGUCUAUGUCAGGAUCUAAAGCACAGUUUCCACCGUGGGGGGCUGGAUAUGCCACUUAACCUGACAUUCUCCCUUUUAUUCCUUUGCUUCUUUUUGGACUUACUUACAAGGAAAUACUAAAACCUUUCUUGAUCAACUACAUCAGAACCUCCUGUCACAAGGAUACAAACAGGCAUGCAUCCACCACCACCAGUCACAGGCAUGCUGCCACCACCACCACCACCAGUCUUCAGGCACCCACAUGAGCAGUAUGUUCCCAGGCAUGAUCAGGGUUGGAUUGCUUCAGUUGAGGACCCGGGAGUGAUGCCACCAACAUUGCCAUAUGACCCCGGGCAAGAUUCCUGGCCAGAGGAAUAUUCUUCUUUUGGCUUUGAGGGGGAGCCAAGACAGCCACAAAGGGUCCAUGUAUUUCCCCCCCCCCCAACACAAUCUCAGGGCAGUCAUGGCUUUUACCCACAGACUAUGUCACAAGAAGUGCCAACUGGACAGGCUGAGUGGUCACACACUGGUCAUCAGUGGGACUAUCAAUCCACCCCCGAGCUCCACCAUCCUCAUCACUUGGGAGAGCUC
Long non-coding RNA from Bombina bombina (fire-bellied toad), 914 nucleotides. RefSeq lists it as uncharacterized. The record is from RefSeq and is a predicted model, not a curated record. The transcript is spliced from 3 exons. Lineage: Eukaryota; Metazoa; Chordata; Amphibia; Anura; Bombinatoridae.